This 751-nucleotide ribosomal RNA is filed under the name uncultured bacterium. Its description in RNAcentral is "bacterial SSU rRNA". It matches the Rfam family "Bacterial small subunit ribosomal RNA", at positions 51 to 830 of the family's 1533-position model. The record is from RNAcentral.
ACACAUGCAAGUUGAACGGGAUUUGUAUGGUGCUUGCACCAUGUAAUGAGAGUAGCGCACUGGUGAGUAACACGUGGGAACAUACCUUGAAGUGGGGGACAACAGUUGGAAACGACUGCUAAUACCGCAUAAUCCCUGAGGGGGAAAGAUUUAUCGCUUUAAGAUUGGCCCGCGGAAGAUUAGGUAGUUGGUGGGGUAAAGGCCUACCAAGCCGACGAUCUAUAGCUGGUCUGAGAGGACGAACAGCCACAUUGGAACUGAGACACGGUCCAGACUCCUACGGGAGGCAGCAGUGAGGAAUAUUGGGCAAUGGAGGAAACUCUGACCCAGCCAUGCCGCGUGAGUGAAGAAGGUUUUCGAAUUGUAAAGCUCUUUCGGAUGGGACGAUGAUGACGGUACCAUCUAAAGAAGCCCCGGCAAACUUCGUGCCAGCAGCCGCGGUAAUACGAAGGGGGCAAGCGUUGUUCGGAAUUACUGGGCGUAAAGGGUGUGUAGGCGGAUUUGUAAGAUAGUGGUGAAAUACCUGAGCUCAACUUAGGAAUUGCCAUUAUAACUAUAGAUCUGGAGUGACAGAGAGGAUAUUGGAAUACCCAGUGUAGAGGUGAAAUUCGUAGAUAUUGGGUAGAACACCAGUGGCGAAGACGAGUAUCUGGCUGUCAACUGACGCUGAGGCACGAAAGCAUGGGGAUCAAACAGGAUUAGAUACCCUGGUAGUCCAUGCUGUAAACGAUGAAUGCUAGUUGUCGGCAAA